UUUUAGCCCAGAUAGUAAUGAAAAGCCUUUUGAAUUUUGUUGUAUUUUUUUCUGGCAGAAAAAAGCGACUGAAAGAAGCUCUUUUUGUGGCUUGAAAAAAAACAACAGAAGAAAAAAGCUUGUAAUGAAUAGCUGGAUUAGCU
Molecule: small RNA, 143 nt
Filed under: Flavobacterium psychrophilum
Lineage: Bacteria; Pseudomonadati; Bacteroidota; Flavobacteriia; Flavobacteriales; Flavobacteriaceae
Also listed under: 2 other names
Description: Flavo-1 RNA
Rfam family: Flavo-1 RNA
Source: RNAcentral